GACGAACGCUGGCGGCGUGCCUAAUACAUGCAAGUUGAGCGCUGAAGGUUGGUACUUGUACCAACUGGAUGAGCAGCGAACGGGUGAGUAACGCGUGGGGAAUCUGCCUUUGAGCGGGGGACAACAUUUGGAAACGAAUGCUAAUACCGCAUAAAAACUUUAAACACAAGUUUUAAGUUUGAAAGAUGCAAUUGCAUCACUCAAAGAUGAUCCCGCGUUGUAUUAGCUAGUUGGUGAGGUAAAGGCUCACCAAGGCGAUGAUACAUAGCCGACCUGAGAGGGUGAUCGGCCACAUUGGGACUGAGACACGGCCCAAACUCCUACGGGAGGCAGCAGUAGGGAAUCUUCGGCAAUGGACGAAAGUCUGACCGAGCAACGCCGCGUGAGUGAAGAAGGUUUUCGGAUCGUAAAACUCUGUUGGUAGAGAAGAACGUUGGUGAGAGUGGAAAGCUCAUCAAGUGACGGGAACUACCCAGAAAGGGACGGCUAACUACG
This 495-nucleotide ribosomal RNA is filed under the name uncultured bacterium. RNAcentral describes it as "partial 16S ribosomal RNA". It matches the Rfam family "Bacterial small subunit ribosomal RNA", at positions 28 to 505 of the family's 1533-position model. The record is from RNAcentral.